CAUUUGACGUUAGCUGCAGAAGAAGCUACCGGCUAACUCCGUGCCAGCAGCCGCGGUAAUACGGAGGGUGCGAGCGUUAAUCGGAAUUACUGGGCGUAAAGCGCAUGCAGGUGGUUUGUUAAGUCAGAUGUGAAAGCCCGGGGCUCAACCUCGGAAUUUGCAUUUGAAACUGGCAAACUAGAGUACUGUUAGAGGGGGUAGAAUUUCAGGUGUAGCGGUGAAAUGCGUAGAGAUCUGAAGGAAUACCGGUGGCGAAGGCGGCCCCCUGGACAGAUACUGACACUCAGAUGCGAAAGCGUGGGGAGCAAACAGGAUUAGAUACCCUGGUAG
Molecule: ribosomal RNA, 330 nt
Filed under: uncultured bacterium
Lineage: Bacteria
Description: bacterial SSU rRNA
Rfam family: Bacterial small subunit ribosomal RNA
Source: RNAcentral